Molecule: non-coding RNA, 1149 nt
Organism: Salvia hispanica
Lineage: Eukaryota; Viridiplantae; Streptophyta; Magnoliopsida; Lamiales; Lamiaceae
Source: RefSeq, a predicted model, not a curated record
AUUAUAAUGUUAGCAUUCCAAUUGUUAUUGCUUGUAUGGGAAAUCUGUUUCACAAACUAAACUGUUUUGAAAUUUCCAGAAUUAUAGUAGUACUUGAGUUUGCUGAUGAAUUGCUCAUACUUAUUAUUUUGCUGGUUGAUUCACUUGUGACUGAAUAUAGAGUUGCAAGAGACAAAGAAUCUGAUAUUGAAGGAUGGUCGAUUUUAUCAGCAUUUUGGUUUGAUGAAAGCUUGAGAUAUCCGCCUCCAUUGUUCUACCAUGUAUAAAAGUAAAGUUGACAUUCCUAGUUGAAGAAUCUUGUUUAGUUGAAGAAGGCUGACUGGUCGAAUAAAUUGGCAAAAAUGAGUAAUCGUGUUUGAAGACCUAAAGCAUCUGUGUGGAUACUCCCUUGUCUCGAAGCGUUUUGCUUCGGCUAUUUGUGAUUUGAAAUCGGUUCAUUUGACUCUUCCUAGUACUACACACUCUAUUGAAUCAACUGAUGAAAUCUGUGAGCUUCUCCCUAAGCUGGCAGGCUUUACCAGUGAAGAAACGAUUGAAUUCAUUACGUCAUCACCUAUUAAGGAGUUGGCCUUCUUGUCAUUCCUUGGGAACUUCAGGGAACUCACAUCUAUUUCAUUGGACUUCACAUGUCCUCGCAGCAUCUGCAGUUCCUCACUUUUGAAAGUGUGGGUGAAAUUCGGCAGCGGUGGAGCCAUGGUGGAACUCAUUCUAGAACAACCAGCUUUUGUGCCUGGCGAGGCUUCUUCAUCUGAUGAGUCUUCUUCAUCUGAUGACGAGGACUCAGACGAUGCACUAACAGACAGGAAUGCGUAAUGAGACACAAUCUCUCUUUGGAUGUUGCUGUGUUUGGUUACUUGUGCUGUGUUUGCUCAAAAAAUGCCACCCUUCGCUUGAGAGUGUCACCAUCACAAAUAGCGAGAAAGAGGGGAGACUAUUUGUGAGCAAUAUGAAUCUUCUUUUCCGGAUAUUAAAGUCGAAAGAAGCAGAACCAGGCUCAUUGAAUCAGACACUUGCUUGGUUGUUAGACUUGCCAAAUUAAAAGAUUGAUUUGCGUCGAGUGUGUUUGUGUGUGUGUGCUUGUAGAAAUUUAUGAAGUCUAUUUAUAGAUGAAGUUUAGGUCUCUUUGGUUGGAUGGUUUAUCCAUCGUUA